CGGAGAGUUUGAUCCUGGCUCAGGAUGAACGCUGGCGGCGUGCCUAAUACAUGCAAGUCGAACGCUUUGUGGUUCAACUGAUUUGAAGAGCUUGCUCAGAUAUGAUGAUGAACAUUGCAAAGAGUGGCGAACGGGUGAGUAACACGUGGGAAACCUACCUCUUAGCAGGGGAUAACAUUUGGAAACAGAUGCUAAUACCGCAUAACAACUUGGACCGCAUGGUCCGAGUUUGAAAGAUGGCUUCGGCUAUCACUUUUGGAUGGUCCCGCGGCGUAUUAGCUAGAUGGUGAGGUAACGGCUCACCAUGGCAAUGAUACGUAGCCGACCUGAGAGGGUAAUCGGCCACAUUGGGACUGAGACACGGCCCAAACUCCUACGGGAGGCAGCAGUAGGGAAUCUUCCACAAUGGACGAAAGUCUGAUGGAGCAACGCCGCGUGAGUGAAGAAGGGUUUCGGCUCGUAAAACUCUGUUGUUAAAGAAGAACAUAUCUGAGAGUAACUGUUCAGGUAUUGACGGUAUUUAACCAGAAAGCCACGGCUAACUACGUGCCAGCAGCCGCGGUAAUACGUAGGUGGCAAGCGUUGUCCGGAUUUAUUGGGCGUAAAGCGAGCGCAGGCGGUUUUUUAAGUCUGAUGUGAAAGCCUUCGGCUCAACCGAAGAAGUGCAUCGGAAACUGGGAAACUUGAGUGCAGAAGAGGACAGUGGAACUCCAUGUGUAGCGGUGAAAUGCGUAGAUAUAUGGAAGAACACCAGUGGCGAAGGCGGCUGUCUGGUCUGUAACUGACGCUGAGGCUCGAAAGUAUGGGUAGCAAACAGGAUUAGAUACCCUGGUAGUCCAUACCGUAAACGAUGAAU
RNAcentral lists this ribosomal RNA (856 nucleotides) under uncultured bacterium. Its description in RNAcentral is "bacterial SSU rRNA". It matches the Rfam family "Bacterial small subunit ribosomal RNA", at positions 1 to 814 of the family's 1533-position model. The record is from RNAcentral.